AUGGGUGUUACGCUGACUACACAGCAGAAAGAGAUUUAUAAACAAGUUCAAGAACCCCUGCAGAGAGCAGGUGCAAAACUUCCUGAGAGUCUGGUGAAAGAGUUUGUUAAAUGGGUAACAGUAAGUUUUUCGGAGCAGUCUGUUGCAGAGCCGUUCAUGGAUUUUGUGGAUCGAGUGAGAGCUUCAGUCGAGAAAAGGGUGCAAAAUCCAGAGCUCCAAGAUCAGCUCACACUAGAAAUUGCCACCACAAAUGCAAAUGAAGCCUGUCAGCGAGUCAUCCUGGCCCUUCCAGCAUCGCCUCCACCCACACUCGAUCAGCUCAUUGAGGAGUGCAUGAGAAAAGCUACACUAAUGACAAGGGACUCGGUGAUAAAACCACGGGGGAAAGUGGUUGCAGAGGCAAUGGUAACCCCAAAAACACCAAGGGCUGCCAAGCCUCCUGCACCCAAAUGCCGAUGCUAUUUCUGUAACCAGGAGGGACAUCUCAUAGGCCAGUGCCCUCUGAGGGGGAAAACGGGGGCGGGGGAGGUCUCCAAUCAGCAAAAAAACUGAUUGGGGAGCGCGGUCCUAUCCCGCGUGAUGACACAAAUGGGGUGGGCCAAGGUGUUGUGGCCAGAGCUGCUGUUCACCACAUUGUACCUAGUGUCAGCAGCCAAGCUUACACCACUGAUAAGACCGAACCUUACCGAUUGAGACUCACUAAACCUGUUCAUUUUUCUAAUCAGGACUGGCAUUUCAUCACAGCCACAGCAGAGCUCCUGCCCCGCAUUCGGGACUGCGAAACUCGCAGACGGAAUGUUCUACUAAACUGCAAGUACCUUGUCAUUGGGGACACAAAGUACACUCCUAAGGAGAUAGAAAUCCCUCCUGGCAUCGUUGCACUCGAUCCCAGGACCUUCUAUCUCAUGGCACGCUGUGUCCACCCUCCUCUCUUCCUGGCGGAGGGACAGAUCAUUGCGCAGGCCAUUCCAGUGCCCCAUCUUUUGUGUGAUGAUCAUGCCCUCUCAGUCUUUUACACCGAGACGCUGGGGGAGGAAAAGCCCCUUGUGUGGUGUGGCCUCCAGAGCGAGGGCCAUUCCGUUCUCCUUCAGGGGAUGAUGGACACCGGGGCAGAUGUG
This 1118-nucleotide long non-coding RNA is filed under the name Taeniopygia guttata (zebra finch). RNAcentral describes it as "lncRNA (ENSTGUG00000024136.1)". Lineage: Eukaryota; Metazoa; Chordata; Aves; Passeriformes; Estrildidae. The record is from RNAcentral.